RNAcentral lists this small nucleolar RNA (138 nucleotides) under Ornithorhynchus anatinus (platypus). The record is from RNAcentral. Lineage: Eukaryota; Metazoa; Chordata; Mammalia; Monotremata; Ornithorhynchidae.
ACCCUCUCAGGGUCGCACCUGGAGAGUUUCCAGUCCUCCACCAGUCUCGGCUACGGGAGGGAGAGUCAAGCAGAGGCCUACCCGUACCGUUCCCAGCCUGGCCAGUGGCUAGCGAGCGGAAGGCCAUCUGCUACAAGC